CCCCUAGUAACUGCGAGUGAAGCGGGAAAAGCUCAAAUUUGAAAUCUGGCGGUCACGCCGUCCGAGUUGUAUUCUGGAGAAGCGUUUUCUGUGCCGGACCGUGUACAAGUCCCUUGGAACAGGGCCGUCGUAGAGGGUGAGAAUCCCGUCUUUGACACGGACCCCCGGUGCUAUGUGAUGCGCUCUCGAAGAGUCGAGUUGUUUGGGAAUGCAGCUCAAAACGGGUGGUAAAUUCCAUCUAAAGCUAAAUAUUGGCGAGAGACCGAUAGCGAACAAGUACCGUGAGGGAAAGAUGAAAAGCACUUUGGAAAGAGAGUAAAACAGUACGUGAAAUUGUUGAAAGGGAAACGCUUGGAGUCAGUCACGUCCGUCGGAACUCAGCCUUGCUUCUGCUAGGUCCACUUUCCGACGGACGGGCCAGCAUCGGUUUCGAGCGGCGGACACUGGCGCGGGGAAGGUGGCGGCUCCGGCCGUGUUAUAGCCCCGCGUCGCGAACGCCGUGCGGGACCGAGGAAUCCGGCGCAAGCCUGGGAUGCUGGCGUAAUGGCUUUAAACGACCCGUCUUGAAACACGGACCAAGGAGUGCUACGUGCUCGCGAGUGUUUGGGUGGAAAACCCGAACGCGCAAUGAAAGUGAAAGUCGAUACCCCCUCGGGGGGCACCGACGCCCGAGCCUGAUGUUUUCGGAAGGCCUUGCGGUAGAGCGAGUGCGUUGCGACCCGAAAGAUGGUGAACUAUUCCUGAGGAGGGCGAAGCCAGAGGAAACUCUGGUGGAGGCUCGUAGCGGUUCUGACGUGCAAAUCGAUCGCAGGACUUGGG
This 819-nucleotide ribosomal RNA is filed under the name Trechispora malayana. RNAcentral's name for it is "Trechispora sp. SLL-2022i partial large subunit ribosomal RNA". It matches the Rfam family "Eukaryotic large subunit ribosomal RNA", at positions 77 to 915 of the family's 3401-position model. The record is from RNAcentral. Lineage: Eukaryota; Fungi; Basidiomycota; Agaricomycetes; Trechisporales; Hydnodontaceae.